RNAcentral lists this unclassified non-coding RNA (152 nucleotides) under uncultured fungus. Its description in RNAcentral is "sequence contains ITS1". The record is from RNAcentral. Lineage: Eukaryota; Fungi.
GAAACCAGCCACCGCAGCCCCUGCUGCUGAACAAACACUCCCCUGCCUCCCACCGCUUCUUCCACUGAAGAAGACCGACCUGGGACUGGGUCUGUUGCCAGACCCCACUCCCUAGAAAGGAGGUGAUCCAGCCGCACCUUCCGGUACGGCUA